UACGUAGGUGGCAAGCGUUGUCCGGAUUUAUUGGGUUUAAAGGGUGCGUAGGCGGUUUAAUAAGUCAGUGGUGAAAUACGGCAGCUCAACUGUAGGUGCCAUUGAUACUGUUGGACUUGAGUACAGACGAGGUAGGCGGAAUUGACGGUGUAGCGGUGAAAUGCUUAGAUAUCGUCAAGAACACCGAUAGCGAAGGCAGCUUACUAGGCUGUAACUGACGCUGAGGCACGAAAGUGUGGGGAUCAAACAGG
This 251-nucleotide ribosomal RNA is filed under the name uncultured bacterium. RNAcentral describes it as "partial 16S ribosomal RNA". It matches the Rfam family "Bacterial small subunit ribosomal RNA", at positions 524 to 776 of the family's 1533-position model. The record is from RNAcentral.